AAUGGGGGAAACCCUGAUGCAGCCAUGCCGCGUGUGUGAAGAAGGCCUUCGGGUUGUAAAGCACUUUCAGUAGGGAGGAAGGGGUGAUGUCUAAUACGCAUCAUCAUUGACGUUACCUACAGAAGAAGCACCGGCUAACUCCGUGCCAGCAGCCGCGGUAAUACGGAGGGUGCAAGCGUUAAUCGGAAUAACUGGGCGUAAAGCGCACGCAGGCGGUUGGACAAGUCAGAUGUGAAAUCCCCGGGCUCAACCUGGGAACUGCAUUUGAAACUGUCCGACUAGAGUCUUGUAGAGGGGGGUAGAAUUCCAGGUGUAGCGGUGAAAUGCGUAGAGAUCUGGAGGAAUACCGGUGGCGAAGGCGGCCCCCUGGACAAAGACUGACGCUCAGGUGCGAAAGCGUGGGGAGCAAA
Molecule: ribosomal RNA, 410 nt
Filed under: uncultured bacterium
Lineage: Bacteria
Description: bacterial SSU rRNA
Rfam family: Bacterial small subunit ribosomal RNA
Source: RNAcentral